UCGAAGCGGGCGUCGCCCACCGUCCCGCUCAUUCGCCUCUCGUUUAGCGCCCGCUAUGUAAACGCGUCUUGUUGUGAAUCUAAACAAAAUCAGUCAGUCUUCGUUUUGUUCCCCGAAGAGUAGUGCGUCGGGGGUUUCGCGUCCGCGUUUUCGGAACAUGUGCCAGUGAACGUAUACCGAUCAUCAUGCACGCGUUAUUCGGCGAACAGAGCCCCUAUGCGUACCGCGGUGGAGCUGCCGGGGGAUACUCCACCGGCGUGACUCCCUACACCUACGAGCAGUACAGAUACGGCUACGGCGCUCCGUACCUUCACCCUCAUCAGCAGCACGUCGGGACUCCCAAGGACAUGGUCAAGCCGCCGUACUCCUACAUAGCUCUAAUCGCCAUGGCGAUCCAGAACGCCCCGGAUCGCCGGAUAACGUUAAACGGUAUUUAUCAAUUCAUCAUGGAGAGAUUUCCGUACUACAGAGAAAACAAGCAGGGCUGGCAGAACUCGAUCCGACACAAUCUGAGCCUCAACGAGUGCUUCGUGAAAGUGGCUCGAGACGACAAGAAGCCCGGGAAGGGCAGCUACUGGACGCUGGAUCCGGACUCGUACAACAUGUUCGACAACGGCUCGUACCUGCGCCGGCGGCGCCGAUUUAAGAAGAAGGACGCGCUAAAAGAGAAGGAGGAAGCCCUAAAGAGGCAGCAGCAGCUUCAGCAGGCCCAGGACGCGCUCGCCGCCCAGGAGGCGCUGAGCGCCGCCGACGCUCUCGGUCAAACCCGAGACGUGAAGCCCGACGUCAAACCUCGCAUAUUCGAAUGCAGACCGAAGCGGGAGCCGGGGGCGGAGUGCGCGCGAUACGAUAAGCUGACCGAGCCGAUGGACGACUUCAGCGAGCCUCGACUUCCGCCAUCCACGGUGUACUGCUCACCUCAGCCGUACUCGCUGGCGGCCGAGGAGUUCCGGGCUGCGACCACCGGCUGGUACACGGCGCCGGAGCCCCACGCGGAGCAGCUCCCGCCGGCCUUCCGCGACCUUUUCGAGCCCCCGAGCUGCCAGCUGGCUGGCUUCCGCGGCGGGUCGCCGACCCCUGACGUGUACCGCGCCUCGCCUCCGCCCCACCACCAUUACCGCACGCCGGCGCCCUCGUACUACCACCACCAGGCGUGCGUGGCCGCCGCUCCGGCGCCCGCCCACAAAUCCUACUGAGAUAUCGUCCUCAGGAGACCGGCAUCGGCGGCGCCGGACGGAUUUAGCCCUCCGCGUCAGUACCAGAGUGGAUAAAUAUAGCUAGCCGGAGAUGCCGUGGCGGCGAGUGGCGGUGCGUCAAUAACCACUGUUUACAGAUCGGCGGCCGGCCCUGCCGCCUCCCGCUCCGUUCGCACCUCGAGGUAAAACGGAAUGGAAGAAUGCGGGAGGUAUUAGAGCAGGGAGCAACCUAUUGUGAUAGCCGAUAGGUAUUAUGUGAAAUGACUAUGUGGUGACACAAGUUAUAUAGCCUUUACAUAAGGUUAUAUAUCAGCGAACCCGGUAGUUACGAAUUAACGAAUAUAAUAUAAGGUACGUUAGAUAAGACGUUAUAAUAAGCGCAUUUAAAGAAAAGUUAAUUUAUAAAUUGUAAAUAUUGUUU
RNA transcript from Aricia agestis (brown argus), 1617 nucleotides. It is a transcript of the gene named fork head domain-containing protein crocodile-like, with no coding region annotated. The record is from RefSeq and is a predicted model, not a curated record. NCBI's taxonomy places the organism in Eukaryota, Metazoa, Arthropoda, Insecta, Lepidoptera, Lycaenidae. The transcript has 3 exons.